RNAcentral lists this ribosomal RNA (253 nucleotides) under uncultured bacterium. Its description in RNAcentral is "partial 16S ribosomal RNA". It matches the Rfam family "Bacterial small subunit ribosomal RNA", at positions 524 to 776 of the family's 1533-position model. The record is from RNAcentral.
UACGUAGGAUGCAAGCGUUGUCCGGAAUUAUUGGGCGUAAAGAGCGCGCAGGCGGCCCAUCAAGUCAGAUGUGAAAUAACCAGGCUUAACCUGGUGGGGUCAUUUGAAACUGGCGGGCUAGAGUCCAGCAGAGGAUAGCGGAAUUCCCGGUGUAGUGGUGAAAUGCGCAGAUAUCGGGAAGAACACCCGUGGCGAAGGCGGCACUCUGGGACGGUACUGACGCUGAGACGCGAAAGCGUGGGGAGCGAACAGG